GUAGGGGACAAGCGUUAUCCGGAUUUACUGGGCGUAAAGCGCCCGUAGGCGGCCCGACAAGUUGGACGUGAAAGCUCCCGGCUUAACUGGGAGAGGCCGUUCAAAACUGUGGGGCUCGAGUGAGGCAGAGGAGCGCGGAAUUCCCGGUGUAGUGGUGGAAUGCGUAGAUAUCGGGAGGAACACCAGUGGCGAAAGCGGCGCUCUGGGCCUAAACUGACGCUGAGGGGCGAAAGCGUGGGGAGCGAACGGGAUUAGAUACCCCGGUAGUCCACGCCGUAAACGAUGGAGACUAGGUGUAGGCGGAUAGAACCCCGUCUGUGCCGAAGCCAACGCGUUAAGUCUCCCGCCUGGGGAGUACGGCCGCAAGGUUAAA
This 373-nucleotide ribosomal RNA is filed under the name uncultured bacterium. RNAcentral describes it as "bacterial SSU rRNA". It matches the Rfam family "Bacterial small subunit ribosomal RNA", at positions 527 to 898 of the family's 1533-position model. The record is from RNAcentral.